This 224-nucleotide unclassified non-coding RNA is filed under the name Hevea brasiliensis (rubber tree). Lineage: Eukaryota; Viridiplantae; Streptophyta; Magnoliopsida; Malpighiales; Euphorbiaceae. The record is from RNAcentral.
CCACCUAACAUUAGAAGAGGUCUAUAUAUGCUAAUAUAGGUAUAGUAAAAAUAACCCUAACCUUAAUAACAAAGUCAGGUAUCAAAACUACCCUAAAUAGUUAAAAUACUGAAAAUUUACCCAAAUAAACCAUUUUUUAAAAAUUCUUUAUAAAAUGUGUAGUCCUAAAUUCCCUAACAAGUGGUAGUUGCAUAUAUGUUGAACCUAAGAGACUCAGAAUAAAA